Molecule: non-coding RNA, 27 nt
Filed under: Homo sapiens (human)
Lineage: Eukaryota; Metazoa; Chordata; Mammalia; Primates; Hominidae
Source: RNAcentral
GUAUACUGGAUAUAUUUUGAGCAGCGC